AGUGAACGCUGGCGGUAGGCCUAACACAUGCAAGUCGAACGGCAGCACAGUAAGAGCUUGCUCUUACGGGUGGCGAGUGGCGGACGGGUGAGGAAUACAUCGGAAUCUACUUUUUCGUGGGGGAUAACGUAGGGAAACUUACGCUAAUACCGCAUACGACCUACGGGUGAAAGCAGGGGAUCUUCGGACCUUGCGCGAUUGAAUGAGCCGAUGUCGGAUUAGCUAGUUGGCGGGGUAAGGGCCCACCAAGGCGACGAUCCGUAGCUGGUCUGAGAGGAUGAUCAGCCACACUGGAACUGAGACACGGUCCAGACUCCUACGGGAGGCAGCAGUGGGGAAUAUUGGACAAUGGGCGCAAGCCUGAUUCAGCCAUACCGCGUGGGUGAAGAAGGCCUUCGGGUUGUAAAGCCCUUUUGUUGGGAAAGAAAAGCAGCAGGUUAAUACCCCGCUGUUCUGACGGUACCCAAAGAAUAAGCACCGGCUAACUUCGUG
Molecule: ribosomal RNA, 492 nt
Filed under: uncultured bacterium
Lineage: Bacteria
Description: partial 16S ribosomal RNA
Rfam family: Bacterial small subunit ribosomal RNA
Source: RNAcentral